RNAcentral lists this long non-coding RNA (203 nucleotides) under Cicer arietinum (chickpea). RNAcentral describes it as "long non-coding RNA (CARI_LNC003021)". The record is from RNAcentral. Lineage: Eukaryota; Viridiplantae; Streptophyta; Magnoliopsida; Fabales; Fabaceae.
UGUUCUUUGCAGCUUGUAGCUUUGUACUUGCACUUGCCUCAUUUGAAGAAUGAUCUUGUAUUAUGCCUUUAUUGAAGCAUGUCUUUGAUUCUUCAAAUUCUGGAACAAAUGUGACUCAGAUUGAUCCUUUGCUGAUUCUAUAUGAGAAUAUAAGAUGAAUGAUGUUUCCAGGAUUGAUCUUUUUACAAGGAAACUGAUUAUCC